GAUGAACGCUAGCUACAGGCUUAACACAUGCAAGUCGCGGGGCAGCAUGGGGGUUGCUUGCAAUCCCCGAUGGCGACCGGCGCACGGGUGAGUAACGCGUAUCCAACCUGCCCUUCACCACGGGAUAACCCGGCGAAAGUCGGACUAAUACCGUAUGUUGUCCAUUGACGGCAUCCGAUUUGGACGAAAGGCUUGGCGGUGAGGGAUGGGGAUGCGUCCGAUUAGCCAGACGGCGGGGUGACGGCCCACCGUGGCUACGAUCGGUAGGGGUUCUGAGAGGAAGGUCCCCCACACUGGAACUGAGACACGGUCCAGACUCCUACGGGAGGCAGCAGUGAGGAAUAUUGGUCAAUGGGCGUAAGCCUGAACCAGCCAAGUAGCGUGCAGGAUGACGGCCCUAUGGGUUGUAAACUGCUUUUAUGCGGGGAUAAAGUGGCCCACGUGUGGGCUUUUGCAGGUACCGCAUGAAUAAGGACCGGCUAAUUCCGUG
RNAcentral lists this ribosomal RNA (490 nucleotides) under uncultured bacterium. Its description in RNAcentral is "partial 16S ribosomal RNA". It matches the Rfam family "Bacterial small subunit ribosomal RNA", at positions 28 to 507 of the family's 1533-position model. The record is from RNAcentral.